AUUGAACGCUGGCGGCAUGCCUUACACAUGCAAGUCGAACGGUAACAGGUCUUCGGAUGCUGACGAGUGGCGAACGGGUGAGUAAUACAUCGGAACGUGCCCGAUCGUGGGGGAUAACGCAGCGAAAGCUGUGCUAAUACCGCAUACGAUCUACGGAUGAAAGCGGGGGAUCUUCGGACCUCGUGCGGACGGAGCGGCCGAUGGCAGAUUAGGUAGUUGGUGGGGUAAAGGCUCACCAAGCCUGCGAUCUGUAGCUGGCCUGAGAGGACGACCAGCCACACUGGGACUGAGACACGGCCCAGACUCCUACGGGAGGCAGCAGUGGGGAAUUUUGGACAAUGGGCGCAAGCCUGAUCCAGCCAUGCCGCGUGCAGGAUGAAGGCCUUCGGGUUGUAAACUGCUUUUGUACGGAACGAAAAGGCUUUCUCGAAUAAAGAGGGCUCAUGACGGUACCGUAAGAAUAAGCACCGGCUAACUACGUGCCAGCCGCCGCCGUAA
RNAcentral lists this ribosomal RNA (498 nucleotides) under uncultured bacterium. RNAcentral describes it as "partial 16S ribosomal RNA". It matches the Rfam family "Bacterial small subunit ribosomal RNA", at positions 30 to 523 of the family's 1533-position model. The record is from RNAcentral.